This 308-nucleotide ribosomal RNA is filed under the name uncultured bacterium. Its description in RNAcentral is "partial 16S ribosomal RNA". It matches the Rfam family "Bacterial small subunit ribosomal RNA", at positions 505 to 807 of the family's 1533-position model. The record is from RNAcentral.
GAGACAGCAGCAGCCACGGGAAUACGAAGGGGGCUAGCGUUGUUCGGAAUUACUGGGCGUAAAGCGCACGUAGGCGGAUAUUUAAGUCAGGGGUGAAAUCCCGCAGCUCAACUGCGGAACUGCCUUUGAUACUGGGUAUCUUGAGUAUGGAAGAGGUUAGUGGAAUUGCGAGUGUAGAGGUGAAAUUCGUAGAUAUUCGCAGGAACACCAGUGGCGAAGGCGGCUAACUGGUCCAUAACUGACGCUGAGGUGCGAAAGCGUGGGGAGCAAACAGGAUUAGAUACCCGUGUAGUCCCUGUCUCUUAUAC